RNAcentral lists this ribosomal RNA (500 nucleotides) under uncultured bacterium. Its description in RNAcentral is "partial 16S ribosomal RNA". It matches the Rfam family "Bacterial small subunit ribosomal RNA", at positions 30 to 523 of the family's 1533-position model. The record is from RNAcentral.
AUUGAACGCUGGCGGAAUGCUUUACACAUGCAAGUCGAACGGCAGCACGGACUUCGGUCUGGUGGCGAGUGGCGAACGGGUGAGUAAUACAUCGGAACGUGCCCAAUCGUGGGGGAUAACGUAGCGAAAGCUACGCUAAUACCGCAUACGAUCUACGGAUGAAAGCGGGGGACCGUAAAGCCUCGCGCGAUUGGAGCGGCCGAUGUCAGAUUAGGUAGUUGGUGAGGUAAAGGCUCACCAAGCCGACGAUCUGUAGCUGGUCUGAGAGGACGACCAGCCACACUGGGACUGAGACACGGCCCAGACUCCUACGGGAGGCAGCAGUGGGGAAUUUUGGACAAUGGGCGCAAGCCUGAUCCAGCCAUUCCGCGUGCAGGACGAAGGCCUUCGGGUUGUAAACUGCUUUUGUACGGAACGAAAAGGCUCUGGUUAAUACCUGGGGCUCAUGACGGUACCGUAAGAAUAAGCACCGGCUAACUACGUGCCAGCCGCCGCCGUAA